CCCCCUUGUGGUCGGUGUACAGGUGGUGCAUGGCUGUCGUCAGCUCGUGUCGUGAGAUGUUGGGUUAAGUCCCGCAACGAGCGCAACCCUUGUCCUGUGUUGCCAGCAUGCCCUUCGGGGUGAUGGGGACUCACAGGAGACCGCCGGGGUCAACUCGGAGGAAGGUGGGGACGACGUCAAGUCAUCAUGCCCCUUAUGUCUUGGGCUGCACACGUGCUACAAUGGCAGGUACAAUGAGCUGCGAAACCGUGAGGUAGAGCGAAUCUCAAAAAGCCUGUCUCAGUUCGGAUUGGGGUCUGCAACUCGACCCCAUGAAGUCGGAGUUGCUAGUAAUCGCAGAUCAGCAUUGCUGCGGUGAAUACGUUCCCGGGUCUUGUACACACCGAA
This 387-nucleotide ribosomal RNA is filed under the name Streptomyces sp. RTD7. RNAcentral describes it as "bacterial SSU rRNA". It matches the Rfam family "Bacterial small subunit ribosomal RNA", at positions 1016 to 1394 of the family's 1533-position model. The record is from RNAcentral. Lineage: Bacteria; Bacillati; Actinomycetota; Actinomycetes; Kitasatosporales; Streptomycetaceae.